UAGUUGUAUGAUAACUUCAGUGGUGAAGGCUAGCUUGAAAGGAGUUUCUCUUGUUGGAAGUCAUUGAGUCGUUCGAUAUGCCUAGAGCACAUGGUAUAUCUUUUCGACCCACAAUCAUUUUGCCUAGCCGAGCUUAGCUUUCAAUCCUUGCAACAAGGUCCUGUUCGGCACCUCAGCUUCAUUAUUGCUCUGAGGAUGAGAUACCGAGGUCAGCCUAUGGUUGAUGCCCAACCCAUUGCAGAACUCUUUGAAUUUCGGGUUGUCAAACUAUCAUCCGUUGUCAGUGAUAAUUGCUCAUGGCAAUCCGAAUCGAUAGAUGAUCAAUUUUCACAUGAAGUCAUAUACC
RNAcentral lists this long non-coding RNA (346 nucleotides) under Elaeis guineensis (African oil palm). RNAcentral describes it as "long non-coding RNA (EGUI_LNC030175)". The record is from RNAcentral. Lineage: Eukaryota; Viridiplantae; Streptophyta; Magnoliopsida; Arecales; Arecaceae.